Molecule: ribosomal RNA, 253 nt
Filed under: uncultured bacterium
Lineage: Bacteria
Description: partial 16S ribosomal RNA
Rfam family: Bacterial small subunit ribosomal RNA
Source: RNAcentral
UACGUAGGGGGCUAGCGUUGUCCGGAAUCAUUGGGCGUAAAGAGCGUGUAGGCGGCCCGGUAAGUCCGCUGUGAAAGUCGGGGGCUCAACCCUCGAAUGCCGGUGGAUACUGUCGGGCUAGAGUGCGGAAGAGGCGAGUGGAAUUCCUGGUGUAGCGGUGGAAUGCGCAGAUAUCAGGAGGAACACCUAUAGCGAAGGCAGCUUGCUGGGACGUUACUGACGCUAAGGCGCGAAAGCGUGGGGAGCGAACAGG